UGAGAAUGUGCCUUCGGGAACCGUGAGACAGGUGCUGCAUGGCUGUCGUCAGCUCGUGUUGUGAAAUGUUGGGUUAAGUCCCGCAACGAGCGCAACCCUUAUCCUUUGUUGCCAGCGGUUAGGCCGGGAACUCAAAGGAGACUGCCAGUGAUAAACUGGAGGAAGGUGGGGAUGACGUCAAGUCAUCAUGGCCCUUACGACCAGGGCUACACACGUGCUACAAUGGCGCAUACAAAGAGAAGCGACCUCGCGAGAGCAAGCGGACCUCAUAAAGUGCGUCGUAGUCCGGAUUGGAGUCUGCAACUCGACUCCAUGAAGUCGGAAUCGCUAGUAAUCGUGGAUCAGAAUGCCACGGUGAAUACGUUCCCGGGCCUUGUACACACCGCCCGUCACACCAUGGGAGUGGGUUGCAAAAGAAGUAGGUAGCUUAACCUUCGGGAGGGCGCUUACCACUUUGUGAUUCAUGACUGGGGUGAAGUCGUAACAAGGUAACCGUAGGGGAACCUGCGGUUGGA
RNAcentral lists this ribosomal RNA (515 nucleotides) under Salmonella enterica. Its description in RNAcentral is "bacterial SSU rRNA". It matches the Rfam family "Bacterial small subunit ribosomal RNA", at positions 1007 to 1522 of the family's 1533-position model. Lineage: Bacteria; Pseudomonadati; Pseudomonadota; Gammaproteobacteria; Enterobacterales; Enterobacteriaceae. The record is from RNAcentral.